GACGAACGCUGGCGGCGUGCUUAACACAUGCAAGUCGAACGGAAAGGCCCUGCUUUUGUGGGGUGCUCGAGUGGCGAACGGGUGAGUAACACGUGAGUAACCUGCCCUUGACUUUGGGAUAACUUCAGGAAACUGGGGCUAAUACCGGAUAGGAGCUCCUGCUGCAUGGUGGGGGUUGGAAAGUUUCGGCGGUUGGGGAUGGACUCGCGGCUUAUCAGCUUGUUGGUGGGGUAGUGGCUUACCAAGGCUUUGACGGGUAGCCGGCCUGGGAGGGUGACCGGCCACAUUGGGGCUGAGAUACGGCCCAGACUCCUACGGGAGGCAGGAGUGGGGAAUAUUGCACAAUGGACGGGAGCCUGAUGCAGCCACGCAGCGUGCGGGAUGACGGCCUUCGGGUUGUAAGCCGCUUUCGCCUGUGACGAAACGUGAGUGACGGUAAUGGGUAAAGAAGCACCGGCUAACUACGUG
RNAcentral lists this ribosomal RNA (468 nucleotides) under uncultured bacterium. RNAcentral describes it as "partial 16S ribosomal RNA". It matches the Rfam family "Bacterial small subunit ribosomal RNA", at positions 28 to 507 of the family's 1533-position model. The record is from RNAcentral.